RNAcentral lists this ribosomal RNA (254 nucleotides) under uncultured bacterium. RNAcentral's name for it is "partial 16S ribosomal RNA". It matches the Rfam family "Bacterial small subunit ribosomal RNA", at positions 524 to 776 of the family's 1533-position model. The record is from RNAcentral.
UACAGGGGGUGCAAACGUUGCUCGGAAUCAUUGGGCGUAAAGCGCACGUAGGCGGUUACGUUAUGUCGGAUGUGAAAGCCCUUGGCUUAACCGAGGAAGUGCAUCCGAAACUGGCGAGCUAGAGUACGAAAGAGGAUCGCGGAAUUCCCGGUGUAGAGGUGAAAUUCGUAGAUAUCGGGAGGAACACCGGUGGCGAAGGCGGCGAUCUGGGUCGAUACUGACGCUGAGGUGCGAAAGCGUGGGGAGCAAACAGG